GUGCUUGUGUCAGCAGCACACAUACUAAUAUUGGAACAAUACAGAGAGGAUUAACAUGGCCCCUGAGCAAGGAUGACAUGGAAAUUCAUGAAGCUUUCCAUGUUUUU
This is a small nuclear RNA of Phyllostomus hastatus (greater spear-nosed bat), 107 nucleotides long. The record is from RefSeq and is a predicted model, not a curated record. Lineage: Eukaryota; Metazoa; Chordata; Mammalia; Chiroptera; Phyllostomidae.